RNAcentral lists this ribosomal RNA (437 nucleotides) under uncultured bacterium. RNAcentral describes it as "bacterial SSU rRNA". It matches the Rfam family "Bacterial small subunit ribosomal RNA", at positions 954 to 1392 of the family's 1533-position model. The record is from RNAcentral.
GCUAAACGCGAAGAACCUUACCAAGGCUUGACAUGGAUUUCUAAGCACGUGAAAGCGUGUGACCCUUCGGGGGACUUCCACAGGUGUUGCAUGGCCGUCGUCAGCUCGUGUCGUGAGAUGUUGGGUUAAGUCCCGCAACGAGCGCAACCCUUGUCCUUAGUUGCCAUCAUUAAGUUGGGAACUCUAAGGAGACCGCCGGUGACAAACCGGAGGAAGGUGGGGAUGACGUCAAGUCAUCAUGGCCUUUAUGGCCAGGGCUACACACGUGCUACAAUGGCAGGUACAGAGGGCUGCAAUACCGUGAGGUGGAGCGAAUCCCAAAAAGCCGGUCCCAGUUCGGAUUGAGGUCUGCAACUCGACCUCAUGAAGUCGGAGUCGCUAGUAAUCGCAGAUCAGCAACGCUGCGGUGAAUACGUUCCCGGGUCUUGUACACACCG